AUGCGCGGUGCGCCCGUCAGUGCCCGUGCUCCCAGGCCGGUGCGGCCGUUACAGCUGCUUGCUCAAGGCGGCGUGCUGACUGCCUGGUUCGUGACCUUGAUUUUUCAUAGAGAUAUAGUAGAAUCAGAUAUAGUGCGAGAAGCCAAUGGUAUUGCAAUGAGAUCUCAUAAUCUCCCUGAGGAAAGGGAGAAGGCAUUAUCCAUUAGUAGAUCACUGGUAAAUGUUAGAACUGCCGCGUUGAAUAAUAGCAACAGUGCUGGUGAACGUAUAAAGGAUCAAAUAGUGCAAACACUGACUGAAGCUGGUGGUCAGGUUGAUUAUGUUGAGGUAAGAUUGAAGCCUUUUUUUAUUGAAGUGCCCUUACUGUUUUCUAUAAAGAAAUUUAUUUAUUCAUUGAGUUUGUUAAUAUAUCUUUAA
RNAcentral lists this ribosomal RNA (417 nucleotides) under Triticum aestivum (bread wheat). RNAcentral's name for it is "partial small subunit ribosomal RNA". Lineage: Eukaryota; Viridiplantae; Streptophyta; Magnoliopsida; Poales; Poaceae. The record is from RNAcentral.